GAGAAGUACGGGCAGGCAUCCGGGGGAAUACGGAGGGGGCAAGCGGUGUUCGGAUGGAGUGGGCGGAAAGGGCGUGUAGGCGGCCAAACAGGUCCACUGUGAAAGCUCGAGGCUCAACCUCGAGAGGUCGGUGGAAACCGUCUGGCUAGAGUCCGGAAGAGGAGAGUGGAAUUCCCGGUGUAGCGGUGAAAUGCGCAGAUAUCGGGAAGAACACCCGUGGCGAAGGCGGCUCUCUGGGACGGUACUGACGCUGAGACGCGAAAGCGUGGGGAGCGAACAGGAUUAGAUACCCCAGUAGUC
RNAcentral lists this ribosomal RNA (300 nucleotides) under uncultured Bacillus sp. Its description in RNAcentral is "bacterial SSU rRNA". It matches the Rfam family "Bacterial small subunit ribosomal RNA", at positions 496 to 795 of the family's 1533-position model. Lineage: Bacteria; Bacillati; Bacillota; Bacilli; Caryophanales; Bacillaceae. The record is from RNAcentral.